CGAAUUCCGCCGAGCCAUCCUCCUCCCAGGCUAAGGCGGAUACGGUCAGCCUUCACCUCCUCCCGAUCGCUGACCGACCCAUACGACACCCGCCGGACCUCCUCCCCCGGCGGGUGUUGUUU
This 122-nucleotide small RNA is filed under the name Mesorhizobium sp. Root157. Its description in RNAcentral is "Alphaproteobacterial ar14". It matches the Rfam family "Alphaproteobacterial ar14". Rfam says of the family: Smr14C2 was renamed NfeR1 (Nodule Formation Efficiency RNA) highly expressed in salt stress and during the symbiotic interaction on legume roots. The record is from Rfam by way of RNAcentral. Lineage: Bacteria; Pseudomonadati; Pseudomonadota; Alphaproteobacteria; Hyphomicrobiales; Phyllobacteriaceae.